UGGUGACUGAUCAUCACCAUCGGGAGUGACUGAACAACCCUGUUGGAAUUAGGCGGGGUAAAGUAAAUGGUUAGAGGUGGUACUCGCCUUCCCUAAAGGAAGUGAACCCGCACCAAGGGAACCAUUGUUGUUAUGUACUAAUUUUCGCUUUAGCGAUUCCCAUAACUUGAGGGUAUGAAGUAUUCCCUCCUCUCACUCG
This 199-nucleotide non-coding RNA is filed under the name unclassified sequences. The record is from Rfam.